This 254-nucleotide ribosomal RNA is filed under the name uncultured bacterium. Its description in RNAcentral is "partial 16S ribosomal RNA". It matches the Rfam family "Bacterial small subunit ribosomal RNA", at positions 524 to 776 of the family's 1533-position model. The record is from RNAcentral.
UACGAAGGGGGGCUAGCGUUGCUCGGAUUGACUGGGCGUAAAGGGCGCGUAGGCGGUUCGUACAGUCAGACGUGAAAUUCCUGGGCUCAACCUGGGGGCUGCGUUUGAUACGUGCGGACUUGAGUGCGGAAGAGGGUCGUGGAAUUCCCAGUGUAGAGGUGAAAUUCGUAGAUAUUAGGAAGAACACCGGUGGCGAAGGCGGCCCACUGGUCCGGUACUGACGCUGAGGUGCGAAAGCGUGGGGAGCAAACAGG